GGUCUCCAGGAUCACACCCUGGACUGAAGGUGGCGCUAAACUGCUGAGCCACCUGGGCUGCCCUAUAGUUGACUUCUUAUCAUAAUAAGGGGAAAGGGAAUAAAGGGGAAAGGAGAAAAAAUGAGUGGAAAAUAUCAGAGAGGGUGACAGAACAGGAGAGACUCCUAACUCUGGAAAACGAACAAGGGGUGGUGGAAGGGGAGGUGAGCGGGGUGGGGGUGACUGGGUGAUGGGCACUGAGGGGGGCACUUGAUGGGAUGAGCACUGGGUGUUACACUAUAUGUUGGCAAAUUGAACUCCAAUAAAGUGAAAGGAUAAAAAAAAAAUGUAAAGCAGAGGACAAUAGGACAUUGUCUUUAACGUUCUGGAAAAAAUAUAUCUUUCAAAAAUAAACUUCAAACAAAGACAUUUUCAGAUUGACAAAAGUUGAGGGAAGCUGUUCUCUGUGGACUUGCAGAAUUAGGAUCAUUAAAGGAAAGUCUUCAGCCCAAAGGGACAUGCCACCGAUAGACUAUGGAUCCAUAUGAAGGAAUUAAAAGUGCCAGAAAAGGGAAAUAUGUUGUAAAUAUAAAAGAAUUAAUUUUCUCAUUUUAAAAACUCAUCAAAAACAAUUGAUGGCUUAAAGCCAAACAGUAGCAAUUUAUUUAGGAGUUUAGAUGUGUGACAAAGGAUAAGAGGAAGGUAAAUGAAAAACACAGACAUGUGAUAGGGAAUAAUCAAUAAAAACACAAGUUGGCUCUUAAAAAGAUGAAUAAAAUUGAUAAACCCCCAAGAAGACUAAUGAAGGAAAAGGAGAGGAAACUAAAUUGCCAGUAUGAGCAAUGAAAAAGGGACUCUUACAUACAUCUUACAGAUAGAAGAGGAAAAUGGAUUAUUGUGAACCACUUUGUAUCAAUAAGCUCAAUAAAUUAGAUGAAAUGGAUAAAUUCCAUUAAAGACACAAAUUAUUGAAAUUGACACUAGAAGACUUUUUCACAAAGAAAACUCCAGGCCCAAAUGGCUAUAUUAGUGACUUUUAGAAGACACUUAAGGAAGAAAUAGUACCACUCUCACAUAAACUCUUUAAUAGAGGAAAAGGAAAGAGGAAAAUGUUUUCCAGAUAGUAUCAUGAGGCCAGCAUAACCAUGAUUUUUAAAAAAGGAAAAAAGGACCUCUGGGUGGCUCAGUGGUUGAGCCCAUGAUCCUGGGGUCCUGGGAUUGAGUCCUGCAUCAGGCUCCCCGUAGGGAGCCUGCUUCUCCCUCUGCCUAUGUCUCUGCAUCUCUCUCUGUGCCUCUCAUGAAUAAAUAAAUAAAAUCGUUAAAGAAAAAAGAAAAAAGUUACAGAACAAUAUUUCUUGCAAAAAUAAUGAAAUGCUAGCAUACUGAAUACAGCAGUAAUGAUACCUCAUGACCAAGUGGUGUUCCUCCAGGAAUGCAGGGUUGGUUUAACAUGUGAAACUCAAUGAAUGUAAUACCCCACAUUAAUUGAAUAAAAAAAGGAAAAUUAUAUGAUUUUGGCAAUAGAUGCAGAAAAAAGCAUGUGACAAAACUCAGUGUGUUUAUGACCAGAAACUCUCAGCAAACUCAGAAUAAAAGGGAAAUUCCACAAUGUGCUAAAGGACAGCUUUCAAAAACCCACAGCUGAUACCACUCAAAACUGUGAAACACUGAAUGUUCUCCCCCUUG
RNAcentral lists this long non-coding RNA (1665 nucleotides) under Canis lupus familiaris (dog). RNAcentral's name for it is "lncRNA (ENSCAFG00000054570.1)". Lineage: Eukaryota; Metazoa; Chordata; Mammalia; Carnivora; Canidae. The record is from RNAcentral.